Molecule: long non-coding RNA, 5120 nt
Organism: Lepidothrix coronata (blue-crowned manakin)
Lineage: Eukaryota; Metazoa; Chordata; Aves; Passeriformes; Pipridae
Exons: 6
Source: RefSeq, a predicted model, not a curated record
GGCCGCGCUGCCCCCGGCGGCCUCACCACGCCCGCCUCUCCCGCGUGGACCGGCGGCCGCUGUGCCGAGCCGCGGGGGAGUCCCACCCGGGUCUUUGUCCCUUGGAGGAACUGCGAUCAAAGGACAUUGUGCUUUAGCGGUCUCAAGGUGCUGCACACGUGGCAGUAAAUGUUCCCGUGUGGUCGUCGGGAUGCUGAGCUGUAAAUGUGGUUGCUACUAAAAAACAAACACCGCUGACAGGUGCGGCCUCAGCGUCCCAGUUUGUUCACCGAGGUGAUUCGAGAAGUGCUUGUCCGUGUUAAGUGAUCUAACGGGCUGGUUAAGUGAUCUAACGUAAGAUUUUCCAGAGCUCUCUAAGCCUCCGCUUCUGUUUCAUUCGGUCUUCCUGGCUGAAGCUCUACUCUCUGCUGUGUCUGCCAGCAUACCUUAAAUUCCUUCCCUUAUUCCCACUAAGGCUUGAUGUGCCUUGUAGGGGAAAUUUCCAGGCCAAUGAUCUUGGUGAGAGGCCUUUGUAGGAAGAUUCAACCAACUCUUAUCAAGCAUAUAAUAAAAUCAUAUAAAAAGCAUAUAAAAAAUCAUGUUCAAAACUGAAAAGGAGCAUACCCCAAGUAGUUUUUUUGGAAGCAGUGGCCAAGAGAGCCCAAAGAGCAGCAGUGACUGCCUAGAUCUCCCUGAGCUCAGAGGAGACUGUGCAGGUUUGGUCCUCUGCUGGAGUGGGCAAUUUUGUUGCUCCCCUGAGAAUGAUUCAGCAUCCUGCUUCCUUUAAGCAUCUCUCUGUGAAACACUGACCUUCAUGCUGGAGCCCAGACAGCUGACAGGACCUUUUGUGGGGCAGAACUCCCAGUCAGCCUAGAAGAAUACCCACCUCAGGUUGAAACAGCUUCUGAAGGCAUUGUGUUCCACCCAGCUACACUGGUACUGAGGCUAACAACUUCUGCUUGUGUUCAACUAAAGCAACAUUUCUCCUUAUGGAAAGUAUUUUGGUUUUCCUUUCUCUGCUGGAAGAAACUGAGCAGCUGCUGCCAGCUGAAGGGAGCAUGCAUUGGCGAGUACUGUAUUUCCAGAAAGUUCUUCCAUAAAGACAUGUUGUACUCAGGAAAGCACUGAAAAAUGAAGGAUCCACCAUAUUUCUUCAUGGUUUGUCCUAGUAAUUAAACAGCUGUACUUUUAAAUUUGAAUCUGUCUGGCUUCUAUUUCCAGCUACUCUUUAUGCCAUUCUCUGUUAGAUUAAAGUGCCCUUUGUUUCUUUUUGUCUCCCUGAGGAGAUUAUGACACAUCACAACCAUAUUUUGUAUCAGCUUUCUUUUCAAUAGAGUAACAUUGGGAGAUUUUUAAAGCUUAACUAGCAGUGUUAGCCCUCAAUAACUUCUUUUCUCUUGCAGUAUUCCUUUUUUUCCUUCUUCCUUUCAAAAUUGUGAGUUGUACAUUAUGAGUGUCAGAUUCACCAAUGCAGCGUGCAAAGCUAAGAUCAGUGUUAUCUCUGCUCAUUUGUAUUCAAAGAUCCCAUGGAACCAGAUGAUUUUUUCACUAUGAUUUCCAGUGUCAUUGCUUUCCAGGGAAUUGUGUUGCUUUUGCCCUCCGCACUAGAUGAGAAAGCCCAACACUACACUGACUUUGUACACAGGCAGUGGAUCAGAGCCAGCCAGCAGAAGAGGCCAGGUUGCUCUGCCCUUGUCAGAUUUUAUCAGCAGCAACUUUAUACCUCACCUCAGGAUCAAUGAUCUAAAGGAUGGAUACCCCUUUCCUAGUGACUUCAACAAACAGGAAUCAGCAGGGAUUUAUUAGAAAUUUUUUAUGAUCUGCUACUAAAUCACGUCACUAGUCAUAAGAUUUCAGAUGUACUUAUUCUCCAAGUGGUAAAGGUCCAUACUGAAACAUUACAGCAGUAAACAAGAAUGAAGAACAACGAGGAAAAAAGGAGAGAAAUAAACCCCCCAAAACCAGCUGGAAAACUUGUGAUGGCAAAAUCACAAUGAUCUGUCUAAGAAACUUGAUUACAGAAAGACUGGGCUAAAUUAGCUACUAGAGUGUAUAUACACUGGGCUGCCAGCUAAAAGAAGUAUAUGGCCACAGCCAAGUGUGUGGAAAAACAAACCUCAUCAGGACAAUGUUCUGACUGACUCCUGAAUGUUACUGUUUUCAACACUCAACCAAAUGAGUAGAAACUGAGGCUCUGCAGAGAACAGUUUGCAGAACAAGCUAGCCUAUGCAUCUGAGAAUAAACCUGCAGGUAAAAAGAAACCAUCUCCCAUUGCUGAUAUCACUCCCAAUCUGACUUCAUUCUUAGAAGAUCCAUCAAGAUACCUCUGACCAGCACAGUCCAGUGUAAUUUGGGUCUGCACAUGUUGUCCGACAUGUUUUUUGCCUAGCUACUGAAUGGAGGCUGCACUGGUGUUAUUGACAGAACUCAUGUGGGGAACACACAGCGUUGGGCUGCUUGUAUCAGAGAGCAGCCAGUGUUAUCUGAGACAAGAGCCACUGGUAUAUCUCUGGAAGGCAGUCACUCUCUCCCCUUCCUUCUGGGUCUCUGAACGCCUUUGCAUUUAAAGCCGCUCUGGGCAGAACUUUACAGCUUAUUUUUGGAAGCCAGUGAAAGAGCUAUUUGUCAAACCUUUAACUUCAGAUUGGUCAGCACAAUUUUCUGAAAAUUUAUACAGCCUUCAGUCUUCAUUCUGUGCCAAGUAUGAGUUGCCUGCAGAGAACUACACUGCACUUAUAGCAAUUGCACUUGAACUGUCAUGUUCUAGGUGGAAUCUCAAAUGUCUUCUAAUUAGACAACAAGCCUUCCACAGUUAACUGUAUGAAUACCUUAAAUCUCAGCCUCUCCCAUCACAGUGAAGGAAAUCAAGUGGAAACUGAAGCAAGUUGCUGUGUGUCCAUGACAUGCUGCAGCCAUUCAUCAAGCAAAGACUUCUAAAAUCCUAUGCAAUAUAUUACAUCAGCAAAGACCUCUAAGAGCAAGACUACAGAUGGUAUUUUAUAGCUUUGACAUAUAUAAAACACACUCAGCUAGCAUAUAUUUUGCUAGAUCGUGUGAAGAAACAUUCUGUACUCCAUCAAUUACUAGUAUUGGGUAAAUCAAGUGUAGAAUGAAGAACUCAGAAAAAAAUUACAUAUAUGCAAUUCAGACAGAACAUACUUGUAGCAAAUGAAGUUGCAGUCCAAAACUGAAUUAACAUACUGUGCUGGUUUUGGCUGGGAUAGAAUUAAUUUUCUUCAUAGUAGCUAUUAUGGAUUUGUGCUGAAAACAGUGUUAAUAUAAGGGUGUUUUUGUUAUCCCUGAGCAGAGCUUACACAAAGCCAAGGCCUUUUCUCCUUCUCACCCCACGCCACCAGCAAGGGGGCUGGGGGUGCACAAGGAGCUGGGAGAGGACACAGCUGAGACACCUGACCCCAACUGCCCACAGGAACAUCCCAGAUCAUAUGAUGACAAGCUCAACACAUUAAGCUGGGGGAAGAAGGAAGGGGGGGAUGUUUGUAGUGAUGGCAUUUGUCUUCCAAAAUAACUUAGGAGCCCCACAUUCCUGGAGAUGGCUGAACACCUGACUGCCAACGGGAAGUCGUGAAUUAAUUCCUUGGUUUGCUUUGUUUGUGUGCAUGGCUUUUGCCUUACCUGUUUAACUGACUUUAUCUCAAUCCAUGGGUGUUCUCACUUACUCUUCUGAUUCUUUGCCCCAUCCCACCGAGGGGGGAGUGAGCAAGCAGUUGUGUGGGGCUGAGUUGCCAGCUGGGGUUAAUCCAUGACACAUAAUUGAAUGCAAAAAAACUUUUUCAAAAACAAGGUGGACCUUUAAGUGGAAGAAAGAACUUUCUUAUAUCUGACACCCACCAUUAUUUAUCAGCAUGGAGACAGUGACAUGCAGCAAGUAUGCUCAAACUGACAUGAAGACAGAUUUAAAACAAUACAGCCUAGGUUGUCAGGAGGAAUAUCUUCAGCAGAUUGCUGAUCCUGGCUCCUGUGAUAUUACAGUUUUCAGUAGACAAAAGGUAUUCAUGACCAAUUACAUCCUGUCCUAUUGAUGUUGAUAUUGCCCUGGUUAUACAGACUCCUGUCUAGUGCCAAAUUUCACCUUUGGCUGUUGCCAGACUCUUCUCUCCCAGCUAUUCCCCAGUUUGAGCAGACUGUAGCACACUCAGCCUGGCACGGACAUCCUGCCGCUGCUGUUUCGCUCCAGCCCAGUGUAGGUGAUGCUCUCGGCUUAGCACCGCUCGCCUCCAGCGCGGGCAGCGCACACUUGGCUUUGUACCACAGCAGUUUUUGUUCUCUCCGAAAGCCGCAGGACUAGGAGGGACUGGAGAGCGGAGGGGGAGCAGCCGCCGCCCUCCCCAUGAGUGGGGCGCGGGUGCCCCCGAGCGGCUCUUCGGCUGGGACUCACAGCGACCACGGAACGGGCGCAGCCCACUGCCACAGGAAUGACUUUCUAAAUGGCAGUUUUCAGAGUAUUGUAGUUAGGAGCAUGAAUAUUUAUGUUGGGUCAAUUAACUUUUCCUAGUAGCCACCGAGACACAACAGUAUCCAAUUCCUCAUUCAGUUUCUGCUUAUACUUCUCCUCCACUUCAUAGUCAAUCAAACACCUCAAAGAAUUUAAAAUCCAUCACAUUAAGAGACUUAUGCUGGCAAAUUACUGAAUUAUACUGCAAUUUCAGAAGGCUCCAAAGAUCCAAUAAAUAAAAAUUACCAGUAAUAUGGGCAAAGCUAGAAAAUUGUAGUUGUUGUGGAUUAGAAUACUGACUCUUUAAUUAAAGUAAAUGUGAAAAGAAGAGAAUUAUUGAUGCAAGAUAAAACUGCCUUUUUUUUUGAAGAAUUCAACCUCUUAUGAAUUUCUGAGUAAAUAUUUGUAACACAAGUCAGAGCCUUCAAACAACUCCUUCUCUAAAAAAAUGUUACCGACAGGCACACCACCACCACUUUCAUGUAGUCUUAACUUCUUCAUCAGAAAGAAUAUGCUCAGUAGUAUGUCAUAUUCCAUUUCCCACAAUUUUUACACCCUUUCACAUUCGUGGUCACCAUACUUGUUAACUGCGCUUCUUUUUUGAAAAUCUGAGCAAGGUUUCACAAAUGUAUAAAAUUACAGAUUGUUAAAAACUGGAACAGGUGACACCGUAUUACAGUGCACUCA